RNAcentral lists this ribosomal RNA (702 nucleotides) under uncultured beta proteobacterium. RNAcentral's name for it is "bacterial SSU rRNA". It matches the Rfam family "Bacterial small subunit ribosomal RNA", at positions 34 to 734 of the family's 1533-position model. Lineage: Bacteria; Pseudomonadati; Pseudomonadota; Betaproteobacteria. The record is from RNAcentral.
CGCUAGCGGGAUGCCUUACACAUGCAAGUCGAACGGCAGCGCGGACUUCGGUCUGGCGGCGAGUGGCGAACGGGUGAGUAAUGUAUCGGAACGUGCCUAGUAGCGGGGGAUAACUACUCGAAAGAGUAGCUAAUACCGCAUACGCCCUACGGGGGAAAGGGAGGGAUCGCAAGACCUCUCACUAUUAGAGCGGCCGAUAUCGGAUUAGCUAGUUGGUGAGGUAAAGGCUCACCAAGGCGACGAUCCGUAGCUGGUUUGAGAGGACGACCAGCCACACUGGGACUGAGACACGGCCCAGACUCCUACGGGAGGCAGCAGUGGGGAAUUUUGGACAAUGGGGGAAACCCUGAUCCAGCCAUUCCGCGUGUGCGAUGAAGGCCUUCGGGUUGUAAAGCACUUUUGGCAGGAAAGAAAUCGCAUCAAUUAAUACUUGGUGUGGAUGACGGUACCUGCAGAAUAAGCACCGGCUAACUACGUGCCAGCAGCCGCGGUAAUACGUAGGGUGCAAGCGUUAAUCGGAAUUACUGGCGUAAAGCGUGCGCAGCGGUUCGGAAAGAGAGGUGUGAAAUCCCAGGCUCAACCUUGGACUGCACUUUUAACUACCCAACUAGAGUAUGUCAGAAGGGGGUGGGAAUUCCGCGUGUAGCAGUGAAAUGCGUAGAUAUUGCCGAGGAACACCGAUGCGAAAGGCAGCCCCUGGGA